This 500-nucleotide ribosomal RNA is filed under the name Leptodiscella chlamydospora. Its description in RNAcentral is "eukaryotic LSU rRNA". It matches the Rfam family "Eukaryotic large subunit ribosomal RNA", at positions 93 to 600 of the family's 3401-position model. Lineage: Eukaryota; Fungi; Ascomycota; Dothideomycetes; Muyocopronales. The record is from RNAcentral.
GUGAAGCGGCAACAGCUCAAAUUUGAAAUCUGGCGCUUUCAGUGCCCGAGUUGUAAUUUGUAGAGGAUGUUUCGGCGUCGGCGCCACCUGAAGUUCCUUGGAACGGGACGUCAAAGAGGGUGAGAGCCCCGUGUAUGGGUGGCUGACUUCGCCAUGUGAAACUCCUUCGACGAGUCGAGUUGUUUGGGAAUGCAGCUCAAAACGGGAGGUAAAUUUCUUCCAAAGCUAAAUACCGGCCAGAGACCGAUAGUGCACAAGUAGAGUGAUCGAAAGAUGAAAAGCACUUUGGAAAGAGAGUCAAACAGCGCGUGAAAUUGUUGAAAGGGAAGCGCUUGAGGUCAGACUUGGCCGCCGUUGCUCGGCGGGGCCUGUGCCCCGUUUGCUCUUCGGCGAUCAGGCCAGCAUCAACUCGGACGGUUGGAUAAAGGCCGCGGGAAUGUGGCUCUUCGGAGUGUUAUAGCCCGUGGUGGAAUGCAGCCAGUCUGGGUUGAGGUCUGCGC